GCGCCCGUAACUCAGUCCGGAUAGAGUACCACCCUCCUAAGGUGGGAGUCGACCGUUCGAAUCGGCCCGGGCGCGCCA
RNAcentral lists this transfer RNA (78 nucleotides) under Bacillota bacterium. RNAcentral's name for it is "tRNA-Arg". It matches the Rfam family "tRNA". From Rfam's summary of the family: Transfer RNA (tRNA) molecules are approximately 80 nucleotides in length. Their secondary structure includes four short double-helical elements and three loops (D, anti-codon, and T loops). Lineage: Bacteria; Bacillati; Bacillota. The record is from RNAcentral.